RNAcentral lists this ribosomal RNA (482 nucleotides) under uncultured Flavobacteriaceae bacterium. RNAcentral's name for it is "bacterial SSU rRNA". It matches the Rfam family "Bacterial small subunit ribosomal RNA", at positions 28 to 505 of the family's 1533-position model. The record is from RNAcentral. Lineage: Bacteria; Pseudomonadati; Bacteroidota; Flavobacteriia; Flavobacteriales; Flavobacteriaceae.
GAUGAACGCUAGCGGCAGGCUUAACACAUGCAAGUCGAGGGGUAACAGGAGUGCUUGCACUUGCUGACGACCGGCGCACGGGUGCGUAACGCGUAUAGAACCUACCCAUAACAGAGGGAUAGCCCAGAGAAAUUUGGAUUAAUACCUCAUAGUAUCAUUGAUUGGCAUCGAUUGAUGAUUAAAGAUUUAUCGGUUAUGGAUGGCUAUGCGUCAUAUUAGCUAGUUGGUAAGGUAAAGGCUUACCAAGGCUACGAUAUGUAGGGGUCCUGAGAGGGAGAUCCCCCACACUGGUACUGAGACACGGACCAGACUCCUACGGGAGGCAGCAGUGAGGAAUAUUGGACAAUGGAGGAGACUCUGAUCCAGCCAUGCCGCGUGUAGGAAGACUGCCCUAUGGGUUGUAAACUACUUUUGUAUAGGAAGAAACAUUCUCUCGUGAGGGAAUUUGACGGUACUAUAAGAAUAAGCAUCGGCUAACUCCG